RNAcentral lists this transfer RNA (90 nucleotides) under Lentisphaerae bacterium ADurb.BinA184. Its description in RNAcentral is "tRNA-Ser". It matches the Rfam family "tRNA". From Rfam's summary of the family: Transfer RNA (tRNA) molecules are approximately 80 nucleotides in length. Lineage: Bacteria; Pseudomonadati; Lentisphaerota. The record is from RNAcentral.
GGAGGGGUGGCCGAGUGGUCUAUGGCGGCGGUCUUGAAAACCGCUGUGCUCGCGAGAGCACCGGGGGUUCGAAUCCCUCCCCCUCCGCCA